This 494-nucleotide ribosomal RNA is filed under the name uncultured bacterium. RNAcentral describes it as "partial 16S ribosomal RNA". It matches the Rfam family "Bacterial small subunit ribosomal RNA", at positions 28 to 507 of the family's 1533-position model. The record is from RNAcentral.
GACGAACGCUGGCGGCGUGCUUAACACAUGCAAGUCGAACGGUGAAGCGCCUUCCUUUUUGGUGGGUGUGGAUGAGUGGCGAACGGGUGAGUAACACGUGAGUAACCUGCCCCCUUCUUCUGGAUAACCGCAUGAAAGUGUGGCUAAUACGGGAUAUUCUGGGUCUGUCGCAUGAUGGGUCUGGGAAAGAUAUUGUUUCGGUGGGGGAUGGGCUCGCGGCCUAUCAGCUUGUUGGUGGGGUGAUGGCCUACCAAGGCGGUGACGGGUAGCCGGCCUGAGAGGGUGGACGGUCACACGGGGACUGAGACACGGCCAAGACUCCUACGGGAGGCAGCAGUGGGGAAUAGUGCACAAUGGGCGCAAGCCUGAUGCAGCGACGCCGCGUGAGGGAUGGAGGCCUUCGGGUUGUGAACCUCUUUCGCCAGUGAAGCAGGCCUGCCUCGUUUGUGGGUGGGUUGACGGUAGCUGGAUAAGAAGCGCCGGCUAACUACGUG